UCCCAGGGGCAGCGGCGGGCCUGCCCUUCCUGCGGGCUCCCCCACGGCCCCCGUCAGCUCCGGCCCCGGCGCGGUGCGGCCGGAGCGCAGCGGUGCCGCCGCUCGGUGCCCGCGCUGCGCCGAGACAGCGAUGCUCCCCCUGCCGAGCGCGGCCCUUUUACGCCCCGCCGCAUCAAGGUGAGCUUGCGGAAAAAAACACCACCCACCCCGGCACCCGCAGGCGCGGCCGCACCGCGCUGCCCGCCCGGCCGCCGCACCGCGCCCGCUCUGCCCGUGGGUUAUCGCCCCUGCUCGGCGGGAGACCCCCGGCCAUCCCCCAACACUCGCCCCGCACCCCGCGGCCGCCUGCUGCGGGCAGUCCCGCCCGUGCCGCUCGGGGGGCCGCAGCUCGGCGGCGCCGGCCGUCCCCCGGGGAUGCCUGGGAGCCCCGAGCUGCCCGGGGACAGGACGAGCCACCCCCCGGCACUUCAGCACCCACUUCACGAGAAAUAGCUGCAUGCCACCGGUUUUGCAGCCUGAGCGCCACGAUGUGCAAAUGUGACACUAAUUCCUGAAGUGUUAAUGAAAAACAGUAAGGUGUAUGCUAAUGUUAAGCGAAAUUCAAUAGAAACAUUCAGAAAAUAAUUUUCAGUUUGGUUUUUUUUCCCUUUGUGCUGGGUCGUUGGGGGCCAGGCUCUCAAGCUUUGAUUAACACAGUCUUCAACUCCCAGAAAAGAACAUACUGUAAGACUCAUUUCAGGUUCUGGCAGUGAAUAUGAACUUGUGCCCCCACUAAUGCAACAUGAACACAUCACCAGUACCAAUUCAUUGCUACAAUGUGUCCAAUGCCAUUCAAUCGGAUGUCUUUAAAUGACGAGUUUAAACUUCUUCCUGUCUUCACUGCACUUUCUCCUCCACGGCAGGCCAGUUCAGACAGGAACUUUCUAACAUGUGAACCACAGUGGCCACUCAGACUCGUGAUAAGGGAUGGCAGAAACAGCACACAUGUCAAAACAGAUGUUAAGUAGUUGAUACAACUAUCCACAGAAAUCCCAUUAAUAUUUAAGCUUUCCAGUGGCACAUAUCUACUCUUCUUUCUUUGAAUUGUAAAUUGGGUUAGUUAAUCCUUCAUUUACUACUUGUUUGCAUUUCCCUGGUUUGAUAUACGCAAGUGUUUAUACUCUUCAUUUUUCUCAUCCCUAUGUACUCGUUUACAGCUGAAGAUGUACAGCAUGCCUUUACCAUUAGCCACUCCUCCAGAACCAUGCUUAGAUUUAAACUCUAGUGGCCUUAGUCACUUGAUUUGAGGGCUGAUACUCAAAUUAUGGAAAGCCAGACUUCAGCUGAGAGCAGAUAGUCCAACCCACUGAGCCAGGCCUCUGUCCCAGGGCCACUAACCCUUGAGCUUUGUUUAAUUGCUGGGGUGGGCAAUGGCACAGCUCACAGCAGCACAUGUGCAUCACUGUUGAUAGGACUGAGGCUUUAAACUGAGGUUUGGGUCAAUAAACUAUGAACAUUACUGAGCUCCAGUUCCUGAUGUACUUUUUGUGAUCCAUUAAGAAAUAUUGUUAUAAUUCUGUGCCCUCUAGUGGUGCUUAAAAUCAUCAAUUAAUUUAAAUAAUCAUAAGGAAAACAGUCUGUGAGCACAAGUUGAGCCAGUAUUGAAAUGUAGCCAUAGAUUCCAGAAGAACUAGAAGCUAACAAAAGUAAAACACUUAGUGAUGAAUUAUUUUAUUUUUUACAGUGUGGGAACAAGUGUAUUUUCCCAUCUGUUAUCUGUUAUUAAAUAAAUCCUUCUAAAAGUAUGUAUUAUGAGAAGACAUUUAUGGUAAUUAAUCUAAUCCCUACUUGUUCAUAUGUCAGAUAACCAAGGCAUGAUCUGCUGGUUGAAUACAGAGACCAGGCAGCUGCCAGUCCUCUGGCAGGCAAAGGGGCUGUGCUGUGUAACAAAGCCAGUCCUCAUCUAAGUAUUUAUUGCAAAAUACAGGUCUGCAUUUAUAGGACAACAAAGUCCCCUGAUAUUUUGGCUUCAGACUAUAUAAUACCUGCAGAGAUGAGUCAUGUGAAAUUCUAGCAUGUCCGCAUGGUCCAAGGUCAUCCUGGGUUCAGAUGUCAGUAAGAGGAUCUACUUGACGAAAUCUCCAAGGCAAGAACAUCCCAAGGAAUCUUGGCUUCUCAAGGCUGCAGUGUAAAGAUCAUGUACUGGAAGCAAAACUCUUACAUACUUCAAAAAGAAAUGAUGGCCUAAGUGAUAAACAUGGGUGAAGUAUCCUCUACUGAAAACUGUGGCCUUUUUGGGCACUCAUCUGCUGGCUGGUAAAUGAUUCCAAGUGAGACACCAUUUAAAAAAAAAAAAAGUAGUCUUGUGAUUUGGGGCCUAAGGCAACUAGGAAAUCAUACAUAUUUUAUGGGGGAAAGAACAAAUUUUCUUUAUUGACAAGCACUUCAGGAGCUCAUCUCUGGAAUCCACAGAGGCAUAUUGAUUGACAGUUACUCUUCACCUGUCCACUGAUGAUGAUUCAUUUCAAGACAGAAGAGGAAGUAAGCAGGAAGCAGAGGAAGGAAGGAGGCACAGUUUGGGGAGUUCUGUGUAUCCCUCCGAGGUUCUGUGCAUUCCAUCAGAGAGGAACUGCUCACGGUUUCCAUGGCUGCACUGCUCUGUUUGCCUCCUGCAGCAUUCAAUAACACCUAACUUUUGUGUAUUCUAAUUGCUUCCCACUGGAGAAUAUUUCCAGGCUUUUGCUUUUUUUUAAGGUCAGGUUCUAUCCCUGGGUUUAAGUCUUCUAAAUCUGAUUACUGCAAUGCUUUUUCAUUAAAAUGCAUGAUCUGAUGAAAGAGGCUGGUACAAAGGCAGCAGAGUAGCAGAAGUCUGACUGGUGUUAGGCUGUGGAAAUGCAAAUUCCCACACAUUUUCUGUGUUACACUUUCCAGCUGUCAAACCAUUGCACUAGAUCAGAUGUUUGCAAUUACUUAAAAUGAAGUCUGCAGCUUAAAGAUUUCUUGAAUAACAUGAAACUGCAGUUCUUCCAGAUUUUCAACAAGUCCUGUGUAUCUGAUUGAUCUCUGAAGACAGAAGGGCACAGAGGUUUGCACAGCCACAGUUUGCUUUUGGAAACCCUGCAGUAGGUUCUGACAUGCUCAGCACAUUGGCAGCUUCCAUUUUUCCUGACCAGGAGCUUCAUUUGGGCAUGCAGACUUGCCUGAGCCAUUCCCUUUCUUUGUAACUUGGCAGAGAACCAUGGGCAACCACUCUGAGACAGCUAAGACUCAUUUUGCACAAGCCAAUGACCACUGCAUGGUUUGCAGAAAAAUUUGAAAGUUCUACUCAUCAAGAAUUGCUAAAUGGAACCACCAGAGAGAAAUGUCUCUGAAUUUCAAGCUGACACCCAAAAGCUGCUUGUCUUAAAGCUCCUGUGUCUGUUCACAUUUCCAGGGUAGACAUCAGAGAGUUAUUAGAGGCCAUUUCAUCUGUAACUCUGGUAACAUGUCCGCUCCAUGACUUAAGGCAAAGCUAGAACUAUAAGGAGAAUGAAUAAACUGCAGAAUUUUUUAAGGAAAUUUUGAUCCUAGUUCUGGAAAACUUGAAUAUUAAUGUGUUCAGCAUAAAGAAAAAAACAUAGUUUCAGAUGGAUCAAUUCUUUCCAAUUUAGAUUUUUCACACAUCUCACAUAUAUCUAUAUGAAACACAAAAACCGAAGUAAAAAGCCAUUGUCAUAAAAAAAAAACCAACAAACCCAUAAGACUUUUAUUCAAAGAUGUAAAAAAGAGUUAUUUUGACAUUUUCAGAGUCUUCCAACCUGUUUUUUUCUCACAUAAAUGAAAUAUGAGUGAAAAAGACAAGACUUCACAAAACAUUUGAAGAGAAUUGUACUAUUUUAAUAAAAACAUAUUCUGCUAGUGGUUUGAUUAUCAACUGUAAUCAGAAUAGAAGGGUUUGUUUUUGUUGAAAUAAAAUUUAAAAAGGAAACUCUUAGGUAAUUACAAUAUACAGCAGCACUCAGUUAACUGGCAGAGAAUCUAUAAUGACAUCUAUUUCAGAAUUCAUUUCUCAAACAGCCAUUUAUGUUAUCCAUCAGUCACUGAUUUCCCACAUACAAAAGGUAAAUUUUUGUGAUACUCUUCAGCUCUGGAAGAUAAC
Long non-coding RNA from Passer domesticus (house sparrow), 4117 nucleotides. RefSeq lists it as uncharacterized. The record is from RefSeq and is a predicted model, not a curated record. The transcript has 6 exons. NCBI's taxonomy places the organism in Eukaryota, Metazoa, Chordata, Aves, Passeriformes, Passeridae.